Molecule: ribosomal RNA, 505 nt
Filed under: Theileria orientalis
Lineage: Eukaryota; Apicomplexa; Aconoidasida; Piroplasmida; Theileriidae
Description: SSU rRNA
Rfam family: Eukaryotic small subunit ribosomal RNA
Source: RNAcentral
UGUCUUGUAAUUGGAAUGAUGGGAAUUUAAACCUCUUCCAGAGUAUCAAUUGGAGGGCAAGUCUGGUGCCAGCAGCCGCGGUAAUUCCAGCUCCAAUAGCGUAUAUUAAAAUUGUUGCAGUUAAAAAGCUCGUAGUUGAAUUUCUGCUGCAUUACAUAUCUCUUGUUUGAGUUUGUUUUUGUGGCUUAUUUCGGUUUGAUUUUUUCUUUCCGGAUGAUUACUUUGAGAAAAUUAGAGUGCUCAAAGCAGGCUUUUGCCUUGAAUAGUUUAGCAUGGAAUAAUAAAGUAGGACUUUGGUUCUAUUUUGUUGGUUUUAGGUACCAAAGUAAUGGUUAAUAGGAACAGUUGGGGGCAUUCGUAUUUAACUGUCAGAGGUGAAAUUCUUAGAUUUGUUAAAGACGAACUACUGCGAAAGCAUUUGCCAAGGAUGUUUUCAUUAAUCAAGAACGAAAGUUAGGGGAUCGAAGACGAUCAGAUACCGUCGUAGUCCUAACCAUAAACUAAA